UACGUAGGGUGCGAGCGUUUGUCCGGAUUUAUUGGGCGUAAAGAGCUCGUAGGCGGCUUGUCACGUCGGGUGUGAAAGCCCGGGGCUUAACCCCGGGUCUGCAUUCGAUACGGGCUAGCUAGAGUGUGGUAGGGGAGAUCGGAAUUCCUGGUGUAGCGGUGAAAUGCGCAGAUAUCAGGAGGAACACCGGUGGCGAAGGCGGAUCUCUGGGCCAUUACUGACGCUGAGGAGCGAAAGCGUGGGGAGCGAACAGG
This 254-nucleotide ribosomal RNA is filed under the name uncultured bacterium. RNAcentral's name for it is "partial 16S ribosomal RNA". It matches the Rfam family "Bacterial small subunit ribosomal RNA", at positions 524 to 776 of the family's 1533-position model. The record is from RNAcentral.